RNAcentral lists this long non-coding RNA (288 nucleotides) under Zea mays. RNAcentral describes it as "drought responsive lncRNA". The record is from RNAcentral. Lineage: Eukaryota; Viridiplantae; Streptophyta; Magnoliopsida; Poales; Poaceae.
CGCGAGGUUUGUCGGAGGCGCGUGACUUGUCGAAGCACAACCGGACACCGAGGCCUGCCGGCGGUAGUGGCUGCACAGGGGCUCAGUCCUGGAGGAUGACUUCGCGCUGGGCUCGGCCAUAGCCGUCGUGUCCGGACAGCCGACCAGCAGAGGCUCACGCGAGUGGCCAGAGAGAGGGCAGCAGAGGCUCAGCACGGCUGCUGCACGAUGGCCAGGUAGGGAGAGGAGGAUGGAGUAGUUGCCGAUCUACUCGCAUGGCACCUGGGAACGCCCAGGCACGAAGAAAAU